GAUUAACGCUGGCGGCGUGCAUAACACAUGCAAGUCGAACGAUGAAACUUUACUGACUUCUUCGGAAUGAUUUAAAGCGGAUUAGUGGCGAACGGGUGAGUAACGCGUGAGUAACCUGCCUUACACAAGGGGAUAGCCUCUGGAAACGGAGAAUAAUACCCUAUGAAACCAGGCAAUCGCAUGAUAAUCUGGUCAAAAUGUUUAGUGGUGUAAGAUGGACUUGCGUCUGAUUAGCUAGUUGGUGAGAUAAAAGCUCACCAAGGCAACGAUCAGUAGCCGGCUUGAGAGAGUGUACGGCCACAUUGGGGCUGAGACACGGCCCAGACUCCUACGGGAGGCAGCAGUGGGGAAUUUUGCACAAUGGGGGAAACCCUGAUGCAGCGACGCCGCGUGAUUUAGAAGGCCUUCGGGUUGUAAAAAUCUUUUGUAUAGGAAGAAAAUGACAGUACUAUACGAAUAAGGUCCGGCUAAUUACGUG
RNAcentral lists this ribosomal RNA (478 nucleotides) under uncultured bacterium. RNAcentral describes it as "partial 16S ribosomal RNA". It matches the Rfam family "Bacterial small subunit ribosomal RNA", at positions 28 to 507 of the family's 1533-position model. The record is from RNAcentral.